Molecule: long non-coding RNA, 5127 nt
Organism: Polistes canadensis
Lineage: Eukaryota; Metazoa; Arthropoda; Insecta; Hymenoptera; Vespidae
Exons: 2
Source: RefSeq, a predicted model, not a curated record
CCUUUUUACGACAGAUAGAAAUAACAAACAAAAGAGAAAACGUAACACACAUUACUUUGAAUGAUAUUUUUUUUUAUCAAAUCCUCUAUCGGAAGAAUAAGUUUGAUACACUUGGAUUCGAUUUAUUCGGAUACGCAAAUACCAACAAGCCUAUCUGCUUUUGUAUCGAUCGAUACAUCGUUACUCAAGGACACGAGAUUUGUCGAAAAGUGAUUUUGCAAUAUUCUUAUUUGUGUAUAUUUUAAAAUAUGUAUAAGUAAAUAUCGAGAUGUAUUAUAAUAUGUCAGAUAGAAAACGUACGUGUACAGAAAGAAUUAUACAUUUUUCAAUUUUUCUGACCCUCUUAAACGCGACCUUUGUUGCGCGCAAAAUAUAAUUUUCCUACGAUAUAUACAAAUCUUUAGAAAAUAUUAAAUUCCGGAAGGAGAAUGAAGAAAAGAGAGAACUUAAGAAAUGUUAUGCAGGUAUAUAAAUAAGCAUGUACUAACACAAAGACAUACAUACAUACAUACAUAAAGUACAUAUUAUAUGUAUUUUGAUAAUAGUCGAAAGUUUUUCAUCUAAUUUUUCUGUGCCUAACGCAGAUGGCAAAUGUCGGCCACUCGAUUAGUCAUGCACUUUUCUUAGAAGUCGAUAAACGCCGUUGCACUGAGUAUAUGACUAUUCUUGUUCCAAGGUAUAUAAAUAUUUAUCGAUUCGUAUCAGCUGCCAACCUGGCCACCUGCGCCGCUUAAACGCAAAAAAGAUAUCCAUCCUGCUAUGGACUUCCUUUCUUUCUUUUUCCCCCCCCCCUCCCCUCUGUCUUUUUUCUUCACAUUUCUUUUUUUCUAUUUUAUUAUUUCUUUUAGCUACGAUCAGCACUGUAACCACUGCGAAAAAAACAAAAAAAAACAAAAAAAAAAGAGCUCAAAGGUUUAUUUAUUUAUUAUAUACACACGUCCUUUUCAGCAACAUUUUUAUUUCUUAUAUCUACGAUGUGACGAUAACGACGACUAUUGUUCCGAACGUGUAUGUGUAUCUAUCGUAUACAUUUGUACCUAUCAUCGGCAAUUGAACUAUCCGUUAACGCGCGAAAUCAUUCUAGACAAGACUGACUUGAUUAAUGCACGAUCGAACGAAAUUACACGAAUUAUGUUACAUGGGAUAGGAAAAAAAAUAAAUUGCUUUGCAAUAAUCCUCAGAUAUAAUAAAUCGCUUUACAAUACAUACACGCGAUACAAUAAAAAAAGAAAAAAAUGAAAGAACAAGAGAGAGAGAGAGAGAGAGAGAGAGAGAGUAGUAGGACAAAUCGCAUGAUACGAGAGAAUAAAAAUGCACUUUCCUUUUGCAUAAUAAUGUUCUUUGCUCAAUCAAUGAAUCCCCUUUUAAAUAACGAUGAAUAAUUUAUUUAGGAUUCGAUCGAGUACAGAAGGACCAUACGAACAAAAAAUUGCAUCGCUACAUCGACCAAGCUGGAACAACAACUAGAACACAGCCACGAGUUUGCAAUUCUAAGACUGCGAUGGAAAGAGAUGGGAAUAUAAUAGAAAGCCGACAACGAAGCGCACAAAUUAAUCUAAACAUUGAAUUUUACAAAUCGGGAUUAUUUAUUGUACAGCUACGAAUCAGAAAAAUAAAAUGUCAAUUUUAAUUUUUAGCGAAUGAUUAUAAACGAAAGAGAAACAAUGAUAAAAUUGAUGCUUGUGCAAGGAUUCGUAACAAGCAUAGAAAAACGGCUGGGGAAAAGAAAAUAGAAAAUAGAAAAGAAAAAGAAGAGAUUGAUAAAAAAAAAUAUAAAAAAGGAUUGGGUCUAGAGGGUACAGGUUGAGCACAUCAAGAGCUUUAUUUAAGAGCAUAUAUGAUAUGCACGACAAUCACGAUGGACGACGUGUCUCCCAUGUGGCUUGUGUGCGUUAACUUUGAAGAGAACAUGUUCUGUACAAAAAAAAAAAAAAAAAGAAAAGAAAAGAAAGAAAAAAAAAACAUAAAGAAAUUAUGGCAGCGUGCUUUAUGUGCAUGUCGACGAUAAAAAAGCGGGUACGGCACGACGCGUAGAUCAUCGCAACUUUUUGCUUUAUCGCUUUUAUCUACGUCGUCGUCCUGUUGCCUUUUCUUUUUUUUUUUUUUUUUUUUUUUUUUAAUUUUUUUUUAAUUUUUUUUCUCCUCCUUCACAUAUAUCUUUUUUUUUUCAGGCUGCAGUUUUCGAUACUCAAUACGAGCAAACAAAGAAUAAAGAAGAGUGAUUGCAUACAUGAGAGGGUUGUUUUCCUGGUUGUUCGGUGGUUGCGAAGUUACGGAACGCCUUGGUCGCCAUAAGGCGAAUCUGGGCAAGGUAUAUCUUGUCAUGUUUCAACAAGUAUCGUUUUCCAAGGGCCUCUUCUCCUUCUCUCGACCUUUUAUCCUUGUUAUUCCUUCCUACACUCUUACUCCUUCUUUUUCUCUCUCUCUCUCUAUCUCUCUCUCGUCGAAUCACUUGAUUCGCAAAAUGUUAACUUGAUUUUUAAGAAAUAUCAUCGAUAUUUUAUCCCAUGCAUGAUUUUAUUUAUUUUACUAAAGCACGUUGAUUAUAUUCUUUCUUUCUUUCUCUUAAUUCUCUCUGUGUAUUUCGUCAGGGACGAAUUAAUGAAAAUCGAUCGUUUAUCUGGUUUCUCUUUCCAUUUGUCUUAUUCUUGACGUAACUCGAUCCUUCUUCUUCUUCUUCUUCUUCUUCUUCUUCUAUGUGUCGUCGUUUUCUUCUUCUUCUUCUUGGCUUUGACGUACACGCAAAGGUUGUGGGCGGAAUUCGUUGCAAAUAAGCGAAGAACAAAGAGUAGAAUCGCUCAAGUUCAAAAUUGGAACAUCAGUCUUCCAGAUCUCACUGAUAUCGAUAUUUGUCAUCCACCGUUAUUAUUUUCCCUUUUUUCGAUCGAAAAACUGAUCGAUUAUAUAUUUUUUUUAAAUUGAAUUUACGAUAGACGGUAGUACUUCUUAGAUUUGGAAAGAACGUAGCAAAAAUAUCGAAUUAGAUUUCAUUUUCGUAAUCCACUUUUUCUUCAAUUUUUCUCCUGUCGACUCGAAGACAGACAGAGUAUGGUUUUUUUUUUUUUUUUAAAUAUGAACACUAGGUAAAUGCAAGAUAAGCUCUGGUUAAACGAUAGCACAGCCAAUAUUUUAAUUGAUAAUGAAGUUUUAGUGAAGCAUUUUCGCUGUCCAACACUUUUCCUUCAUCCAUUGUAUGUUUCUAUUUGUCUUUUUAUAUCUCCCUAUUUAUUUCUCUCACAAUAAUUUUAUUGCAAAUAUAGUCGAUGAAAUGUUGUACAUACCAUUUAGGAAUCUUUCUUCUAAUGCUUUGUAACGGCAAAUAGAGCGUCUUGGUAGUCAAGGUAUUGGACAUGCGCGUUGAAAAUGAUUUUCUUUGUCAAUGGCAGCGUUCAAGAAGUUUCAAGGAAUCAACAAAUCGCAACCCCUCCACCCUGUUAACUUCGAUUAACAAAAAGAAAUUUGUGUAAUUCUUCUCCAUUUCGAUUCCUCGAUUGACAAUUUGAAAGAUACAAAAUUUCGAUCAAUAUGCUGAACAAAUGAAAAUGUUUUCUCUUAAUGUAAUCUCUCCCUCUCUAUUUCUCAUUUUCUCUUUUAUACAUAUACACACGCAUACAUACAUCAGUAAUUUUUUGAAUCUUUUCUAUUUUAAACACUUUGAUCAACGUUUUAAUAAAAAACAAAAAAGAUAAUAGAUCUUUGCGCAGAUUUGGCAUCGAUAAUACUUCAUCAUACUUGUUAUUUUCUUUCGAAUAUUAAAUACCGUUUAUAGAAAAAAAAUGAACGAAUCAAAGAUCAAAGAUAUUUCGUGCGAAACGACAUUCAAUAAAAGAGAUUUCGCAUCGAUAUCUCCGAUGAUAACCGAUUAAUAUUAACGAUAGGAUCGAAAGAAUCGAAGCGCGAGAAAUGUAUCGUGCUUCUUCUAAUCGAUUGUUAUCCUUUUUUAUACCACUCAAUGAACGACUCCAACCCCAUCGUCCCCCCUUCGUCUUUCGCGGUAAUUCACUCAUUCGCAUAGCGUUGUCCUUUCUAUUUUUAUUUCUACUACGAAAAUUUAAAAAUCAAUUAAACAAUGAGAAUCUUAAAUAAUGUCGAAGGAAACAUGUAGAUAGUUCAAAAUGUUCGUAUUGACGUUGCAUACGACUCGAAGGUCAUCCUUUGAUUUGUAUGUAUAGAUAAAGAUAGAUAGAGAUAGAGAUAGAGAUAGAAGGAGAGACAGAGAGAGAAAAAAAGAUCGAUUCUCUCUAGGAAAUAGUUUAAGCGCCACCACGUUACGGUAUCCUUAAGAGAAAGUAUUAUAGAAGAGAUUGUCGAUGCGAAAGGAACUAUUUUCCUCCCCCCUUAACCACCCUCCUCCGACCUUGUCUUUCUCUCUUCCUUCUUAUCAAAGAGAUUACGAUCGCGGUAUGGAAAAUCAAUCGGCAAUAGGAGAAUCGUAAGAAUAAUGCUCUCUAUAUAUAUAUUCAAUGCUAAGGAACGUGACCUAGAUGAAUCGCCGCCACGCCUUUUCCCAACGGCUAAUCAUUUCUGAACCACCAUCUUGCUUUUUGUUUGUUCCAUUAACGAUUCCUUCCUUCCUUCCUUCCUGGGUUACUUCGAUGUUCCUUUCAUUUUUAGUUUUGUUUCUUUCCUCAGGAGUUCCCUUUCUUCAUAAUUUUCAACUUCGUCGGAUGCUACGUUCUCCGUAUCGAUUCUCGAAAGGGUCGCAAGGUCUGACAAUGAGAAGGCAUCGUUCUGUCUCUCCUUUAACUUUUUAGUUGUCAGUUGAUAUCUAUCUAAAGCAUAACUAAAGAUAAACUUUGACGCGUCAGGUUAAAGAUUAUACCUUAUUCUCUCGUUUAUAUAUUGAUUCAAUUUAGAAACGUUUACAUUCUAAGGGAUAAAAAAGUCAACUCGUCCAUUUUGAAAGGGUUUUCUGCAUCAUCGAGCUAUUACCAGUUAACAACUGCGCAAGCUCGCCAUUCGCUCUUUGACUAUUCGCUCGUUAAACAGACGACUCACUCCUUUUAACUUUCUUCUCAUAUAAUCUUUCGUAUCAACUCUGUCUCCUCCAGUAUUGUUUUCUACGUCUCUCGUCAUUGACUUCUUCAAUGACGGCACGACAGGUGGUAGGAUGAAAUAAGAGAUAGA